AUUUCUAGCUUGCUAGAAGGUGACGAGCGGCGGACGGGUGAGUAACGCGUAGAAAUCUACCUAGUAGUGGGGGAUAGCCCAGAGAAAUUUGGAUUAAUACCGCAUACGCCCUACGGGGGAAAGCGGGGGAUCUUCGGACCUCGUGCUAUUAGAUGAGUCUGCGUCGGAUUAGCUUGUUGGUGAGGUAAUGGCUCACCAAGGCGACGAUCCGCAGCUGGUCUGAGAGGAUGACCAGCCACACUGGAACUGAGACACGGUCCAGACUCCUACGGGAGGCAGCAGUGGGGAAUAUUGCACAAUGGGCGCAAGCCUGAUGCAGCCAUGCCGCGUGUGUGAAGAAGGCCUUAGGGUUGUAAAGCACUUUCAGCAGUGAGGAAAGGGGUGUCGUUAAUAGCGCCAUCCUGUGACGUUAACUGCAGAAGAAGGACCGGCUAACUCCGUG
RNAcentral lists this ribosomal RNA (442 nucleotides) under uncultured bacterium. Its description in RNAcentral is "bacterial SSU rRNA". It matches the Rfam family "Bacterial small subunit ribosomal RNA", at positions 71 to 507 of the family's 1533-position model. The record is from RNAcentral.